AGAAAUCUGAAUCUCAUUCAUACCUUUCUCUUGAACCAUAAAAUCAUCCCUUGUUGUGAACUGUUGGGAGUUAAGUGACAUGUUCUCAAUCAAGGAUUUGGCAACAACAGGAUAUUCAAUACACAAAGCAUUAUAAUCAACAUCAGGGGCAACAAGUUCUCUCAGGGUUAUUUGGUCAGCCAUGUUAAACUCAAUAGAAAAGAAAAAAAAUCAACAAACAAUGAGAAAACACGACUAAUUCAGCAAUGCAGCAACAAAUAGAAAAAUACUGACAAUGUCCAUAUUAAGUAAAAAACAAUUGAAAUACGAAAAAAACGAUUAAAAUAAAAUACAAAAAAA
RNAcentral lists this long non-coding RNA (339 nucleotides) under Lathyrus oleraceus (garden pea). Its description in RNAcentral is "Pisum sativum (pea) long non-coding RNA (PSAT_LNC026915)". The record is from RNAcentral. Lineage: Eukaryota; Viridiplantae; Streptophyta; Magnoliopsida; Fabales; Fabaceae.